CAUGCAGUCGAACGAUGAAGCCUAGCUUGCUGGGUGGAUUAGUGGCGAACGGGUGAGUAACACGUGAGUAACCUGCCCUUGACUCUGGGAUAAGCGCUGGAAACGGCGUCUAAUACCGGAUAUGACCUGCCCCGGCAUCGGGUGUGGGUGGAAAGUUUUUCGGUCAAGGAUGGACUCGCGGCCUAUCAGCUUGUUGGUGAGGUAAUGGCUCACCAAGGCGACGACGGGUAGCCGGCCUGAGAGGGUGACCGGCCACACUGGGACUGAGACACGGCCCAGACUCCUACGGGAGGCAGCAGUGGGGAAUAUUGCACAAUGGGCGAAAGCCUGAUGCAGCAACGCCGCGUGGGGGAUGACGGCCUUCGGGUUGUAAACCUCUUUUAGUAGGGAAGAAGGGCUUCGGCUUGACGGUACCUGCAGAAAAAGCACCGGCUAACUACGUGCCAGCAGCCGCGGUAAUACGUAGGGUGCAAGCGUUGUCCGGAAUUAUUGGGCGUAAAGAGCUCGUAGGCGGUUUGUCGCGUCUGCUGUGAAAACCCGAGGCUCAACCUCGGGCCUGCAGUGGGUACGGGCAGACUAGAGUGCGGUAGGGGAGAAUGGAAUUCCUGGUGUAGCGGUGGAAUGCGCAGAUAUCAGGAGGAACACCGAUGGCGAAGGCAGUUCUCUGGGCCGUUACUGACGCUGAGGAGCGAAAGCGUGGGGAGCGAACAGGAUUAGAUACCCUGGUAGUCCACGCCGUAAACGUUGGGAACUAGAUGUGGGGGCCUUUCCACGGUCUCCGUGUCGCAGCUAACGCAUUAAGUUCCCCGCCUGGGGAGUACGGCCGCAAGGCUAAAACUCAAAGGAAUUGACGGGGGCCCGCACAAGCGGCGGAGCAUGCGGAUUAAUUCGAUGCAACGCGAAGAACCUUACCAAGGCUUGACAUAUACCGGAAACUUCCAGAGAUGGUUGCCCCGCAAGGUCGGUAUACAGGUGGUGCAUGGUUGUCGUCAGCUCGUGUCGUGAGAUGUUGGGUUAAGUCCCGCAACGAGCGCAACCCUCGUUCUAUGUUGCCAGCACGUUAUGGUGGGAACUCAUAGGAGACUGCCGGGGUCAACUCGGAGGAAGGUGGGGAUGACGUCAAAUCAUCAUGCCCCUUAUGUCUUGGGCUUCACGCAUGCUACAAUGGCCGGUACAAAGGGCUGCGAUACCGUAAGGUGGAGCGAAUCCCAAAAAGCCGGUCUCAGUUCGGAUUGAGGUCUGCAACUCGACCUCAUGAAGUCGGAGUCGCUAGUAAUCGCAGAUCAGCAACGCUGCGGUGAAUACGUUCCCGGGCCUUGUACACACCGCCCGUCAAGUCAUGAAAGUCGGUAACACCCGAAGCCAGUG
This 1368-nucleotide ribosomal RNA is filed under the name Rathayibacter agropyri. RNAcentral describes it as "bacterial SSU rRNA". It matches the Rfam family "Bacterial small subunit ribosomal RNA", at positions 54 to 1432 of the family's 1533-position model. The record is from RNAcentral. Lineage: Bacteria; Bacillati; Actinomycetota; Actinomycetes; Micrococcales; Microbacteriaceae.